UACAGAGGGGGCGAGCGUUGUUCGGAAUUACUGGGCGUAAAGGGCGCGUAGGCGGCCUCUUAAGUCGAACGUGAAAUCCCCGGGCUCAACCCGGGAACUGCGUCCGAUACUGGGGGGCUUGAAUCCGGGAGAGGGAUGUGGAAUUCCAGGUGUAGCGGUGAAAUGCGUAGAUAUCUGGAGGAACACCGGUGGCGAAGGCGGCAUCCUGGACCGGUAUUGACGCUGAGGCGCGAAAGUCAGGGGAGCAAACGGG
RNAcentral lists this ribosomal RNA (253 nucleotides) under uncultured bacterium. RNAcentral describes it as "partial 16S ribosomal RNA". It matches the Rfam family "Bacterial small subunit ribosomal RNA", at positions 524 to 776 of the family's 1533-position model. The record is from RNAcentral.